GUAGGGAAUAUUGCGCAAUGGACGAAAGUCUGACGCAGCGACGCCGCGUGAGUGAUGAAGGCCUUAGGGUCGUAAAGCUCUGUUGAAUGGGAAGAAAAAAAUGACGGUACCAUUCGAGGAAGGACCGGCUAACUUCGUGCCAGCAGCCGCGGUAAUACGAGGGGUCCUAGCGUUGUUCGGAAUCAUUGGGCGUAAAGGGUGUGUAGGUGGCCAUGUAAGUCAGGUGUGAGAGCCCCGGGCUCAACCCGGGAAGUGCACUUGAUACUGCGUGGCUUGAGUACCGAAGAGGGUAGUGGAAUUCCAGGUGUAGUGGUGAAAUACGUAGAUAUCUGGAGGAACACCGGUGGCGAAGGCGGCUACCUGGUCGAGUACUGACACUGAGACACGAAAGCAUGGGGAUCAAACAGGAUUAGAUACCCGAGUAGUCC
Molecule: ribosomal RNA, 428 nt
Filed under: uncultured bacterium
Lineage: Bacteria
Description: partial 16S ribosomal RNA
Rfam family: Bacterial small subunit ribosomal RNA
Source: RNAcentral